RNAcentral lists this ribosomal RNA (406 nucleotides) under uncultured bacterium. Its description in RNAcentral is "partial 16S ribosomal RNA". It matches the Rfam family "Bacterial small subunit ribosomal RNA", at positions 29 to 526 of the family's 1533-position model. The record is from RNAcentral.
AUUGAACGCUGGCGGCAGGCCUAACACAUGCAAGUCGAGCGAGCGGCGGACGGGUGAGUAAUGUCUGGGGAACUGCCCGAUGGAGGGGGACAACUACUGGAAACGGUAGCUAAUACCGCAUACUCUCGGAUGUACCCAUAUGGGAUUAGCUAGUAGGUGGGGUAACGGCUCACCUAGGCGACGAUCCCUAGCUGGUCUGAGAGGAUGACCAGCCACACGGGGACUGAGACACGGUCCAGACUCCUACGGGAGGCAGCAGUGGGGAAUAUGGCACAAUGGGCGCAAGCCUGAUGCAGCCAUGCCGCGUGUGUGAAGAAGGCCUUAGGGUUGUAAAGCACUUUCAGUGGGGAGGCGUUACCCGCAGAAGAAGCACCGGCUAACUCCGUGCCAGCAGCCGCGGUAAUAC